RNAcentral lists this ribosomal RNA (565 nucleotides) under Salmonella enterica subsp. enterica serovar Rubislaw str. SA20030553. Its description in RNAcentral is "bacterial SSU rRNA". It matches the Rfam family "Bacterial small subunit ribosomal RNA", at positions 1 to 554 of the family's 1533-position model. The record is from RNAcentral. Lineage: Bacteria; Pseudomonadati; Pseudomonadota; Gammaproteobacteria; Enterobacterales; Enterobacteriaceae.
UUAAAUUGAAGAGUUUGAUCAUGGCUCAGAUUGAACGCUGGCGGCAGGCCUAACACAUGCAAGUCGAACGGUAACAGGAAGCAGCUUGCUGCUUUGCUGACGAGUGGCGGACGGGUGAGUAAUGUCUGGGAAACUGCCUGAUGGAGGGGGAUAACUACUGGAAACGGUGGCUAAUACCGCAUAACGUCGCAAGACCAAAGAGGGGACCUUCGGGCCUCUUGCCAUCAGAUGUGCCCAGAUGGGAUUAGCUUGUUGGUGAGGUAACGGCUCACCAAGGCGACGAUCCCUAGCUGGUCUGAGAGGAUGACCAGCCACACUGGAACUGAGACACGGUCCAGACUCCUACGGGAGGCAGCAGUGGGGAAUAUUGCACAAUGGGCGCAAGCCUGAUGCAGCCAUGCCGCGUGUAUGAAGAAGGCCUUCGGGUUGUAAAGUACUUUCAGCGGGGAGGAAGGUGUUGUGGUUAAUAACCACAGCAAUUGACGUUACCCGCAGAAGAAGCACCGGCUAACUCCGUGCCAGCAGCCGCGGUAAUACGGAGGGUGCAAGCGUUAAUCGGAAUUAC